RNAcentral lists this long non-coding RNA (293 nucleotides) under Gallus gallus (chicken). Lineage: Eukaryota; Metazoa; Chordata; Aves; Galliformes; Phasianidae. The record is from RNAcentral.
UGGCACGAGAGCAAGAACGCAGCAGCAUCCUUCAGUAACUGCUUCUGAUCCUGCACCUCUUCUCUGCUAGACUCAGGAAAACGAACACCUGGUGAGAAAAUAUCUGGGUUAAACCGAAUGUCAAAUGAUGUGUCACUAAUGGAGCCUACGGCCUUGCAAGCAUUUCGAAUCACUUCUCUGCUUUUGGGAUCGACUGUUCCAUCAUCAGAUGCAAUGGUCUCAGCCAGCUCUUUAACCUGAUCAAGUCCAGUCACGCUGUCAUCUGUUUUACCAUCAUCUGACUCAGACUUCUC